Molecule: ribosomal RNA, 783 nt
Filed under: uncultured bacterium
Lineage: Bacteria
Description: bacterial SSU rRNA
Rfam family: Bacterial small subunit ribosomal RNA
Source: RNAcentral
AAUGUCUGGGAAACUGCCUGAUGGAGGGGGAUAACUACUGGAAACGGUAGCUAAUACCGCAUAACGUCUACGGACCAAAGUGGGGGACCUUCGGGCCUCAUGCNAUCAGAUGUGCCCAGAUGGGAUUAGCUAGUAGGUGGGGUAAUGGCUCACCUAGGCGACGAUCCCUAGCUGGUCUGAGAGGAUGACCAGCCACACUGGAACUGAGACACGGUCCAGACUCCUACGGGAGGCAGCAGUGGGGAAUAUUGNACAAUGGGCGCAAGCCUGAUGCAGCCAUGCCGCGUGUGUGAAGAAGGCCUUCGGGUUGUAAAGCACUUUCAGCGAGGAGGAAGGGUUCAGUGUUAAUAGCACUGNNNAUUGACGUUACUCGCAGAAGAAGCACCGGCUAACUCCGUGCCAGCAGCCGCGGUAAUACGGAGGGUGNNNGCGUUAAUCGGAAUUACUGGGCGUAAAGCGCACGCAGGCGGUUUGUUAAGUCAGAUGUGAAAUCCCCGCGCUUAACGUGGGAACUGCAUUUGAAACUGGCAAGCUAGAGUCUUGUAGAGGGGGGUAGAAUUCCAGGUGUAGCGGUGAAAUGCGUAGAGAUCUGGAGGAAUACCGGUGGCGAAGGCGGCCCCCUGGACAAAGACUGACGCUCAGGUGCGAAAGCGUGGGGAGCNNNCAGGAUUAGAUACCCUGGUAGUCCACGCUGUAAACGAUGUCGACUUGGAGGUUGUGCCCUUGAGGCGUGGCUUCCGGAGCUAACGCGUUAAGUCGACCGCCUGGGGAGUACGGCCGCAA